AUGGCCGGAUCUCGGAACUGGGCGGAUCUACCGGACGGGCCGACGGCGCUCAUAGCCGACCGCGUCCUCGCGUACGACGUCGCCGACUACGUUCGCUUCCGCGCCGUGUGCGUUCCGUGGCGGCGGUGCUCGGCGGAUCCGCGCGCGCACGGCAGCCUCGACCGCCGGUUCCAUCCCCGGCGGUGGACCAUGCUCCCGGAGGAGCUCGCGGCGCCCAACCGCCGCUCGUUCCUGAACACAUCCACCGGCGAGUGCGUCCAGGUGGACCUCCCGGAGCUCCAUGACCACACUAUGCUCGCCCUCACCCCCGAGGGCCUCCUCGUUCUGCUCCACAAGCUGCAGCGCACCACCGUCCGCCUGCUCAAUCCAUUCACCGGCCACCUCACAGAACUCCCGCCGCUCACCACGCUGGUACCUCCAGCGCGGCAGGCUUGGGCUGGUGUUUACCCUUCCCGAAGGAUGUUCGCAGCGUGGGGCUCCGGCGUUGCCAAUGAUGAUUCCACAGUGGUGCUCUGCUUCUACAAGCUCGGCGUGCUUGGCAUGGCAAAGCCGAGCGAUGACCACUGGACGUUGGUGAAAUGCAGAUUUAAUUCAAUGGGAGCACCCUUAAUGCUGGCAGGCCGCUUCUAUUGCUUUUGCUGGCGCAACGGUGCCAUUGUGCUGGAAACCAUCGUGGAUCAGCCACCACGGCUGGAGGUGGCCUCCGAGCUGAAUUUGAGUGGCUCGCCGAUUAGGGAUAGUGUGCACCUGGUGAACAACUGUGGGGAGCUCAUGCUGGUGCACCGUCGGUGUGGACCAUUGCCACCGGCGAAUAGAUUGGGUUAUUGGUAUGAUGCAUAUCGAGUGGAUUUGGACAAACGGACGCUAUUCCCGCUCAACAGCUUGGGUGGCGCCGCUGGGCGUGCGGUGUUCAUGGGUAUGCAUUGCUCCCUAUCGGUGUCUCUAGAGAAUUUCCCUUCCGGUUCCAUAACUGCUGACACCAUCUACUUAGGCUUUGACGUCCCUGAGAGAGCAGGGUUUAAAGUGGCAGCAUAUCAUCACGCAGAUGGAAGCAUCGAAGGCGCCAGCAGAUAUCAGGGUCGCUUGGUGCCACGGCCGCAUACUCUUGUUGACUGUCUAUCUUUAGCCAAUACUGUCUGA
RNAcentral lists this ribosomal RNA (1140 nucleotides) under Triticum aestivum (bread wheat). RNAcentral's name for it is "partial small subunit ribosomal RNA". Lineage: Eukaryota; Viridiplantae; Streptophyta; Magnoliopsida; Poales; Poaceae. The record is from RNAcentral.